This 445-nucleotide ribosomal RNA is filed under the name uncultured bacterium. RNAcentral describes it as "partial 16S ribosomal RNA". It matches the Rfam family "Bacterial small subunit ribosomal RNA", at positions 330 to 792 of the family's 1533-position model. The record is from RNAcentral.
CCCAGACUCCUACGGGAGGCAGCAGUGGGGAAUAUUGCACAAUGGGGGAAACCCUGAUGCAGCGACGCCGCGUGAGUGAAGAAGUAAUUCGUUAUGUAAAGCUCUAUCAGCAGGGAAGAAAAUGACGGUACCUGAGUAGGAAGCCCCGGCUAACUACGUGCCAGCAGCCGCGGUAAUACGUAGGGGGCAAGCGUUAUCCGGAUUUACUGGGUGUAAAGGGGGCGCAGACGGCGAUGCAAGCCAGGAGUGAAAGCCCGGGGCCCAACCCCGGGACUGCUCUUGGAACUGCGUGGCUGGAGUGCAGGAGGGGCAGGCGGAAUUCCUGGUGUAGCGGUGAAAUGCGUAGAUAUUAGGAGGAACACCAGUGGCGAAGGCGGCCUGCUGGACGACAACUGACGGUGAGGCGCGAAAGCGUGGGGAGCAAACAGGAUUAGAUACCCGUGUA